UUCCGGUUGAUCCUGCCGGACCCGACUGCUAUUUGGGUGAGGAUAAGCCAUGCGAGUUGAAUGGGAAACCUAAAAAUCCCAUGGCAAACUGCUCAGUAACACAUGAUCAACUUGCCCUAUAGAGGAAAAUAACCUCGGGAAACUGAGGAUAAUGUUCCAUAGUUGAAUCGGCUUGGAAAAGUUUUUCAAUAAAAGGGAUAAGGAAAAUGGUCCUUAUCUGCUAUAGGAUAGGAUCGUGCUCGAUUAUGGUUGUUGGUGAGGUAAAGGCUCACCAAGCCGAUAAUCGAUAGGGGCCGUGAGAGCGGGAGCCCCGAGAUGGGUACUGAGACAACGACCCAGGCCUUAUGAGGCGCAGCAGGCGCGAAACCUCCGCAAUACACGAAAGUGUGACGGGGUUACCCAAAGUGUUCUAUUUAGAACUGUGGUAGGUGAGUAAUGUUCCCUACUAGAAAGGAGAGGGCAAGGCUGGUGCCAGCCGCCGCGGUAAAACCAGCUCUUCAAGUGGUCGGGAUAAUUAUUGGGCUUAAAGUGUCCGUAGCCGGUUUAGUAAGUUCCUGGUAAAAUCGGGUAGCUUAACUAUCUAUAUGCUAGGAAUACUGCUAUACUAGAGGGCGGGAGAGGUCUGAGGUACUACAGGGGUAGGGGUGAAAUCUUAUAAUCCUUGUAGGACCACCAGUGGCGAAGGCGUCAGACUGGAACGCGCCUGACGGUGAGGGACGAAAGCCAGGGGAGCGAACCGGAUUAGAUACCCGGGUAGUCCUGGCCGUAAACGAUGCAUACUAGGUGAUGGCACGGCCAUGAGCCGUGUCAGUGCCGUAGGGAAACCGUUAAGUGUGCCGCCUGGGAAGUACGGUCGCAAGGCUAAAACUUAAAGGAAUUGGCGGGGGAGCACCACAAGGGGUGAAGCCUGCGGUUCAAUUGGAUUCAACGCCGGG
RNAcentral lists this ribosomal RNA (935 nucleotides) under uncultured archaeon. RNAcentral's name for it is "bacterial SSU rRNA". It matches the Rfam family "Archaeal small subunit ribosomal RNA", at positions 1 to 922 of the family's 1478-position model. The record is from RNAcentral.